CUCAGCGCGUGCUGCUCGCGGAUGGAGGCUCUUUUUCCCUGGCUUGUUCAGGAAACACUGAAAUAAGUGGGAGUUAAAGGGGUUUGAUCCUGGCAAGAUUUGAAAACAGCACAACAUCUUCCACAGUGCCCAUAAAAGCCAGCAUCUUGGAGAUGGAACCCAAGCAUGACUGUUCUGAAGAUAUGCAACUUUGAUGCUAGAGUUAAGAAGCUGGAAAAAUGUGCCAAGAAAAGAACUACGAAUGUGCUGUUAUUUCCUGGCUGUAUCCAGAACUGCUCCAUUUUGGGAUUUAAUCUGCACCUAGCUUGGAGCUGAAUUAUUUCUGGAGAUCGAUACUUUGUAGUUUUCAUUUGCUUAUGAGGGGUUCACUCACUACUGGCAUAUUCCUUUGUUUUUAAUAAAUACAUAUGUGCUGUCA
Molecule: long non-coding RNA, 418 nt
Filed under: Struthio camelus australis
Lineage: Eukaryota; Metazoa; Chordata; Aves; Struthioniformes; Struthionidae
Description: lncRNA (ENSSCUG00000017102.1)
Source: RNAcentral